GUGAAUCAUCGAAUCUUUGAACGCACCUUGCACCCUUUGGUAUUCCGAAGGGUACGCCCGUUUGAGUGUCAUUGUAAUCUCAACUCCAUAUUUUUUUGUGUGAGUUGGACUUGGAUCUCGUCGCGCUUGUGGCCGAUCCGAAAUACAUCAGUGUGUAUUCGUCGUGACGAUAAACCGAUUGUUAAGUUUCAUCGGACUUGCUUUGUCAAGGUCGUCUGGCGAAAUUAUAUGCUAAACCCUAUACAUUGACAAUUUGACCUCAAAUCGGGUGGGAUCACCCGCUGAACUUAAGCAUAUCAA
Molecule: unclassified non-coding RNA, 300 nt
Filed under: uncultured Agaricomycetes
Lineage: Eukaryota; Fungi; Basidiomycota; Agaricomycetes
Description: sequence contains 5.8S rRNA gene, ITS2
Rfam family: 5.8S ribosomal RNA (bases 1-71)
Source: RNAcentral